Molecule: non-coding RNA, 901 nt
Organism: Bemisia tabaci
Lineage: Eukaryota; Metazoa; Arthropoda; Insecta; Hemiptera; Aleyrodidae
Source: RefSeq, a predicted model, not a curated record
UUAAAAUUUCUGUGUGUAAGUAGGAGAUUCAGAACCAUAAAUACAACUUUUUUUUUUCAUUUAAGCACGGUUAGUAAUCUCUAAAAUCCAAAUUAAUGGUGGUCAGUUCACUUAUACGGAUUCCAGCAAGAUUUACCCUCUCUUACGAACAACUCUUCUUUCAGACUCCUGUUUGCCAGGGUGAAGCAGAACCUACUCAAGAUCCUGUCAUACACACUGCGUCCACAUCCGCAUCCAGUCUUGUGGACGUAUCUAAGGAGUGGUAAUAUUUGAUCAUCCCUAAAUUGUCACCAGUAAGAGUGACAGACUGUCAUGAAUCAGAGGUAAGCUGUGCAGAGGAGGAGGAUGAAGGACCCUCAGAGAAAGAAUCGGGGAGCGAAGGACCCUCAACCCAAGUACCUCUAGAACCCCCAGGUUCAGCAGCAAAUGAGGAGUAUACUGGUCCACCAGCUAAACUUAAGCUAACCUACUGUUCAAAGACUCAUUGUGUAAUUAGGUAAACUUUCUGAAGAGGCUCUCGAAGCAGCGCAUAAAAUAUUCAGAAAAUUUCGCAAGGAAAAAUCGAGAAAGAUGAAUAGGCUUGUAUCCAAUCAAGAUGUUCUUUAACAACCUAUGAAUAAUAAACUCUGAUCCACUUGUAUCAUCAAUGAGGUACAAUUUGUCUUCUAUCGAACGAAAGAAAAAGCCGCUUGAUGCAGAGGCAGUUUCCCUCCACGUUCAGGAAAAUCAGGAUGACAGCGGGCUCGGUGAAAUGGCGAACGAGUGUGAUGAAAGCACUGAGUUAGAAGGAGAUGGCGAGGACGAAGAUAAUGAUAUGUGACACGUACUUUCAAUUUGUUGCUAAACUUUUAAUAUGUGUCCUCUAAUCCCUAAAAAUGGAUGAUUCUUGAAAAAGUUUAAA